AUGCUGGGUACAUCGUCUGGCAUCGGCUCUUCUUGGCAGGCAAGGUGCUUCCCGCCAGUGGCCGAGGUUCCAGUCCAGGCUCCCAGGCCUGCUGAGGACCUCAAGUCACAACAGAAUACAAUGCCCAAGACCCCUGAGCUGUCGCACCCAACACCGAGCCAGGGAGCUGGCUGGGCCCGUCACAGCCAUGGCUGGAGCAGGAGUGAGGUAACAAGGCCGGGCAGAGAGGUGGGAAGGGGUGCUCUCUACACCUUGUGCAAAUCCCUGCUUCACAUCAGGGAAGCAGGGGGUGUUAAGAGACGGCCUUCCAGAAAAACGCUCCACUCGGACCCAAAAACGCAUCUUCUGGAAGAAAACAUAGAGGUGGAGGGAGGGGGGCCAGCCUGCUGGAGAUGGGGGGAUGAGGGUCAAGGAUGUCAAGUGGUGGAUGGGAGGAUUGUCCCACAGCCUAGAGACAAGGGGCGGGGGGAGGAGAGAGGCAGGAGAGCCCGAGGCUCCGUGUCACCAGGAUCCCCUCUGGCUUUGGCCCAAGCCACAGCUCCAAACAGGGCCCUCCUCCAUCUUCCCACAUCUGGCAGUGCUCUGGGCACUUGGUGAGUUUCCUCCUCCUCUUUGUCCUCAGACAGGGAGGCUGGAGCUCUACCUGCCUGUGAUGUCAGCUGCUGGUGCGGGAGGGAGGGGGAGGGCCGGCGGGCCCAGCUCCCAGAGGGUUUGUACUGGGCUCCUUCCUCGUGCUGAGGGAGCCUACUGCAGAGGUCACCUACUGCGGAGAAUCUGGGGACCGGGCACACCGAUGGGAGCUCAAGCGCUCUGGAAGUAGGCUGUCUGAGGACAAUUUCUGGGCUAGAAGCAGCAGAACUGAAAGUAUCCUUCCUUUUACCAGGAGGCUCUCCAUUCUGGUAGCUUGACCCGAGCUGACAUCAGUUGAGCCUGCAACUCCGGAGGCCUGGCCUGGCCUUUGGCCUCAAAUUCCAUGACUUUGGUUUCUCCAUCUGUUCACUCGUGAAUUCCACGAGCAUCUGUGGAGUGCUUCCUCUGUGCCAGAUAGAAGAGAUAUGGUCUCUGUCCUCCGGGGUCUCGUGGGCCGGCGGUGGGGAGACAGAAAAGUGAGCUGAACAGCGCAAACCACGAGGCAAGUGCUGGAAAAACGAACCACAGCCCAGCACUCCAUCUGUAAAACGGCCCUCCCUAGCACACCUGGAAGAAACGAGGUGAGCUCCAGGGAGACAGGUAAGACGGGAACACCUUUCCUGCAAGUGAGAGAAAAGGUGAUGCAAGAAAUCCCCAAACUGGGGCACCUGGGUGGCUCUGCCUUCGGCUCAGGUCAUGAUCUCAGGGUCCUGGGAUGGAGCCCCCCAUUGGGGCUCUCUGCUCAGCAGGGAGCUUGCUUCCUCCUCUCUCUCUCUGCCUGCCUCUCUGCCUACUUGUGAUCUCUGUCUCUCUCUCUCUGUCAAAUAAAUAAAUAAAUAAAGUCUUCUAAAAAACUUUUAUAAAAAAAAUAAAAAAGAAAUCCCCAGAUUAACCAUACCCAAAGCUCACACGAUUCUCGUUCCCCCUCCUUGGAUCUUGGGAAAUCCCCUCAUUUCCCACGACUCGGAGAAGACAGGUCCUGCGGCUAUUCACCCCCUCACCUUCCCGCCACGUGGCGUGGGAACUCACUUGCAUCCACCUCCAUUGGGAUCUGGUCCAGGCCAAUCCUUCCACCUGUGCUCAAGCUCUUUCCUUGCCUCCUCCAAAACCUUGCUCCCUUAUCUCCCGUAGGAACCAGGAGCCCACUGACCAAGUCGGAAUCCUGGAACUAACUCCCAAGGCCUCCCUUCUCACACCCUAAAUCCGAUCCAUCACAAAGUCCUGGACAUUGGAAUCCCCUUAAAAUGUAUCCUGAAUUCAUCUACUUCUUUUCUUUCUUUUUUUACUUCCUCCACAACUACCAUCCCAAGUCCAAGCCACCAAUAUCCUUUAACUAGACUGCCCCAGGUGCUCGCUCCCUCUGCAGCAGCCACCAUUCCUCUGCACUGCAAACUUCAGAAUGCAAAUCUGAUGCUGUCAGCAUCCUUCUUAAAGACUCGUAGUAGCUUGGGGCGCCUGGUGGCUCAGCAGGUUGGGCCUCUGCCUUCAGCUCAGGUCAUCAUCUCAGGGUCCUGGCAUCGAGCCCCACAUCGGGCUCUCUGCUCAGUAGGGAGCCUGCUUCCUCCUCUCUCUCUGCCUGCCUCUCUGCCAACUUGUGAUCUCUGUCUGUCAAAUAAAUAAAUAAAAUCUUAAAAAAUAAAAUAAAUAAAAUAUAAAGGGCUGUGUCUCCCUCUAUUAAAACAAUUUUUCCCCAGUCACCCCUGCCUUCUCCUCUAGGUAUCAUCUCUUCCUCCCGGAAAAACUCCUAGAAUAAACUCUCCUUGCUCGCCCUCUUUUUCCUCCCUUCUCCUACGCCCUUCUAAAACUGCUCUGUGGUUACCAGAGACCUCUGAACGAUCACUGCAGAAGAUCCCAUUUCGUGGGGCACCCCUGGGGACACAGUCAGCUGAGCAUACAAUGCUUGGUUCUGGCUCAGACCAUGGUCUUGCGGUUGUGGCAUCGAGCCCCACGUUGAGCUCUGAGCGUGGAGUCUGCUUCAGAUUCUCUCCCUCCCCCUCUCAUUCACUCUCUCUCUCAAAAAAAUAAAUAAAAUCUUUAAAAAGAAAAAAAAAAAAAAAGAUGGUGCUUCCCUUACCUGCCUCUUUCCUCUUUGAUUCUGCCUUCUUGAGUCUGUUAUUUAUUUUUUUUUAA
Molecule: long non-coding RNA, 2760 nt
Organism: Mustela putorius furo (domestic ferret)
Lineage: Eukaryota; Metazoa; Chordata; Mammalia; Carnivora; Mustelidae
Source: Ensembl